Molecule: long non-coding RNA, 993 nt
Filed under: Anas platyrhynchos platyrhynchos (common mallard)
Lineage: Eukaryota; Metazoa; Chordata; Aves; Anseriformes; Anatidae
Description: lncRNA (ENSAPLG00000022362.1)
Source: RNAcentral
CAGAGGGUUGUUUGGUUCAGCAACAGAUGUGAUCACAAAGCUAGUUUCAUUCCAGUACUGCAUGGUACAGGGCAACUCUGAGCAUUCACUUGAAACAGAAUGGGGUAUCAUCAAAUAAUUAUGUUUAUGAGCAGUACUGCCAUGAAUGAGUGAAUGUAAUGACAAUCAUAAUGAAAACAGAUGCUGAUAUUUACAUGUAUUUAAAGUAAAUUUCAUUGAUCAUAAAAAAUGAUCUAUUGUAGGCUUUAAUCUUAAUUUAGAGAUAAUUACAUGAUAGUGCAAUUCCAGAUAAUAGCCACAUGACCUUCACCAACUAAUCUUGUCAGUAGACCUGACACAGAGUAAAUGAUCAACUUUCUGAUUUACUUCAUUUUGGCUCAGGUCAAUAGUGACUUACACUUGGCAUAGUAUAGGAUGCCGGCACUAUAUAAAAAAAAAAACAAAAAACCACAAACAAACAAAAAAAAAACUGCUGUAGGGUUUUAAAUGGCUCGGUAAACUCAGUAUUUUUUUUUCUUUUUUUUUUUUUUUUUUUGAAAAUUAUUAUUCUGGUCUUCUGGGAAAUGAAAUAAAAGCAUUCUUUAUUGCACAGAUGACAUUGAUCUUCAGUAACUCCUGAUCUGGACUGAUACAGGUGGUUUUGAGCCAUUCUCCUCCUAGGGAGUUGUUCUCCGUUCUCUUCACCAUCUCAGCUGCCCAGUCUGUACACCCACCUCAAGUUUUGUGACAUGUUUGCUGGAAGUACCUGUGAAAUCCAUUGAGAAUGGAUGAGCACUGGAUGCGUUGCUGGUAGAGGGUCACCAGCACAGAAGGGUCAGCUGGCUACUACUGUGGAAGUUCGAUCAUAGAAUCGCAGAAUGGUUUGGGUUGGAAGGGACCCAAAGAUCACCUAGCUCCAACCCCCUUGCCAUGGACAGAGAUGCCGUCUACUAGACCGUGUUGCUCAAAGCCCCAUCCAGCUUGACCUUCUCUGGGCAACCUGUUCCAAUGUGC